Molecule: ribosomal RNA, 402 nt
Filed under: uncultured bacterium
Lineage: Bacteria
Description: bacterial SSU rRNA
Rfam family: Bacterial small subunit ribosomal RNA
Source: RNAcentral
UGGGGAAUUUUGCGCAAUGGGGGGAACCCUGACGCAGCAACGCCGCGUGCGGGACGAAGGCCUUCGGGUUGUAAACCGCUUUCAGCAGGGAAGAAGUUGACGGUACCUGCAGAAGAAGCCCCGGCUAACUACGUGCCAGCAGCCGCGGUAAUACGUAGGGGGCGAGCGUUAUCCGGAUUCAUUGGGCGUAAAGCGCGCGUAGGCGGCCCGUCAAGCGGAACCUCUAACCCGAGGGCUCAACCCCCGGCCGGGUUCCGAACUGGCAGGCUCGAGUUUGGUAGAGGAAGAUGGAAUUCCCGGUGUAGCGGUGGAAUGCGCAGAUAUCGGGAAGAACACCGAUGGCGAAGGCAGUCUUCUGGGCCAUCAACUGACGCUGAGGCGCGAAAGCUGGGGGAGCGAACA